GUUCCAAUGAAGAAGUGACUAGAGAUGUGUUUUGUGAGUUAGAGGCACAUAUUGUAUGGUGUUGGAAUUGCCCUGCUGUUGAUGUGCUCAGAUUUUAUGUUGACAAAAGCGGUCGAACAUGGAUGGUGAUGUUGACUUAAACGGGCACUUUUCAGAAGAACACGGUGGACCAGGGCUUGAUGAGUUGGUCGACACAGACAGAAUGCAGAGUUCCUCCCCUGCUCUUGACACACUUGAGCACUGAAAGGACUGUGCGACUG
This is a long non-coding RNA of Dunckerocampus dactyliophorus (ringed pipefish), 260 nucleotides long. RefSeq lists it as uncharacterized. The record is from RefSeq and is a predicted model, not a curated record. NCBI's taxonomy places the organism in Eukaryota, Metazoa, Chordata, Actinopteri, Syngnathiformes, Syngnathidae. The transcript is spliced from 3 exons.